UACGGAGGAUCCAAGCGUUAUCCGGAUUCAUUGGGUUUAAAGGGUGCGUAGGCGGAAUUGUAAGUCAGUGGUGAAAGCCUGCAGCUUAACUGCAGAAUUGCCAUUGAUACUGCAAAUCUUGAGUACAUUUGAUGUGGGCGGAAUGUGUCAUGUAGCGGUGAAAUGCUUAGAUAUGACACAGAACACCGAUUGCGAAGGCAGCUCACAAAACUGUAACUGACGCUGAGGCACGAAAGCGUGGGGAGCGAACAGG
This 253-nucleotide ribosomal RNA is filed under the name uncultured bacterium. Its description in RNAcentral is "partial 16S ribosomal RNA". It matches the Rfam family "Bacterial small subunit ribosomal RNA", at positions 524 to 776 of the family's 1533-position model. The record is from RNAcentral.